Molecule: long non-coding RNA, 2096 nt
Organism: Arvicola amphibius (Eurasian water vole)
Lineage: Eukaryota; Metazoa; Chordata; Mammalia; Rodentia; Cricetidae
Exons: 2
Source: RefSeq, a predicted model, not a curated record
ACCGUUUCAGUGGCAUUUAAAUCCCCGGCGCUCCUCAGUCUAGGUGACGCGCGGUCGCCCCCCCAGGCAGCCCGGGCCGCGGCGGUUGCUGCGGCCGCUGCCAGAGCUCACUUGGAGCACGGGGGGCCAAAGGGAGUAGAGAUUGUCUUCUGCGCGUACCCGACUCUGCUCGCCUCCGCCUCCAGGAUGUGGGGGAUGGGAAGCGACCCUCCACGGCCCUCUCCCCACCCAGCCCAGAAAGCUGAACUGGCAAGAGCUUCAGCUACUGAGGAAUCAAACCAGAGGAAAGCAAGGCGGACCUCACAGAGGAGAUUCUCUUGGGAGGGCAGUCCCCCUGCUGUGAGGAAAGAGGGGACUCCAGCUUGUCAGGAACAGGAAGUAAGAGGCUCAGCGCUCUGAGUGCCUAUGAGCUGCUCUCCCAGCAGAAGGCCGACCAUUCCUUGUCCCCCACGCCUCGUUCCUAGCCCUCUGUGGGCCUCCUCAUUCCGGGUUUGCAGUAACCUUCUAGCUCCGGGAGGCUGGCCUCAAAGCUGCACCAGGCCUCCGCUGGCCUCCUUGUGCUAGUUCUCGCUCCCUGAAACCCUCUCCCUCCACCUCGGUUCUCCUGGGCAACCUAGGUAGGGUAUUUUCCUCGGGAUCACAAACCCUUGCUGGAACCCGACCCACAGACACCGGGGCUUCCACAGACCUUGCCCUUUUAACAGCGGGCUCGGCCUCUGGCGGUGCGGGGCCCAUCUUUCUCAGGGAGGCUCUGCAAGACAAUUUCCCCCAGCCUGGAUUGGGUAGGCUUCUGCAGUCCGGAUUCUUUCCCAGCCCCCACCCGGCAGGAUUCGGAAAGGCCACAGAGCAGGGUAAGAGAUCUUUGGUCUUUUGAACAAGGAAGCCAGCGACCCACGCAGGAAUCGAGCUAACGUCUCUUUAAAUAGCCCCUAGGAGAGUGGGUGAAAGGCGAGCUUGGGCCAUGAGAGAAGUAAUCCUCUGCAAGCUGUUUGCUUGGCUCCAAGUCCCUCUUUCAGGACUCUUCCGCUGGAAAGAGAAUGAGCAAGGAGGAGACAGACCGAGGCCCGGAGCUGUUCUUGGCAUCUGCGGCUCAGCCAAGCUGUUGUUUUAAAAGAGCAAUAAAAAUGAAUUAUGACUAAACGCCUUCUAACUUAAUGCUUUCGGACGGGGAUCCCCGGCAAAUACGUAAGAGGAUUUUUAUUUGUGCAUGUGUUCCUGCAAUUGAUCUCUUUGAUGACAUUCUCAUUCAUAGAAAGCGUUUGAUUUAUGAGCUUAGGACGAAUCUCAUCCAGGAGCUGCACAGCCCUGCCACAGCCAGGACGCCCUGCUCUGGAGCCUGGGGCUUGAACCUACACAGUUCCCACACACCAAGAUGGCUGAGGAACUGGGGGAGUAGAGAGUGGAGGGAAGGGUAGGCAGCGAACCACCACCCCCCCCCAAGAAUGAUGGAGGCUUCAUUGUAACUCCCAAGCCUUUGCAGUUAAGAGCUGGGUUCUUAAACAUCAAUCAGCUUGCCCCACGCACAUGUUGCUGCAGUUUCUCACAGUAAGUCAUCAGAACAGAGCCCAGAAAAGGAAAAAUAAAUAAAAGUAGGGGCAGACAAAAUAAGAGGGGGAAAAACAGAACACCCCAAUAACACACCCUAGAUCACAUUUUAUUGAUAUUUCAUUUAAAGUGCUCCUUCUCUGUCUAAGAAACUGGGUUAAUUAAUAUUCUAAGGUGCAGAAACUCUCUGUUUUAAAAUAUCAGUUUGCUAACCUGACUUCAAACCUUUAAUGAUUUAUUAUUAGCAAAGUAAACAGAUCUAAGAAUUAAAUAUCGGUGUGUGUGUGUGUGUGUGUGUGUGUGUGUUAUGGGGGCAAGAAUCCUGGGAUGACUGGAAAGAACCCUGCCUGGCAUGCAUUUUCCAGCUAGUAACUACUGUUUUGUUUUAUUUUGUUUUCCUCUAUCUUUUAGGUCUGUUUUGCCUGAACCCAUCAACAACUGGGAGAUUAAUCAACCACACUGAAGUGGGGAGAGGAAAGGGAGGAGCUGGAAUGUAGAUGUUUGAAACAAAUGUGUAUAAAUAAAUGAAUUUUUGAUAACUUGGUUAUUGA